GACGAACGCUGGCGGCGUGCCUAAUACAUGCAAGUAGAACGCUGAAGGAGGAGCUUGCUCUUCUGGAUGAGUUGCGAACGGGUGAGUAACGCGUAGGUAACCUGCCUGGUAGCGGGGGAUAACUAUUGGAAACGAUAGCUAAUACCGCAUAAGAGUAGAUGUUGCAUGACAUUUACUAAAAAGGUGCAAUUGCAUCACUACCAGAUGGACCUGCGUUGUAUUAGCUAGUUGGUGGGGUAACGGCUUACCAAGGCGACGAUACAUAGCCGACCUGAGAGGGUGAUCGGCCACACUGGGACUGAGACACGGCCCAGACUCCUACGGGAGGCAGCAGUAGGGAAUCUUCGGCAAUGGACGGAAGUCUGACCGAGCAACGCCGCGUGAGUGAAGAAGGUUGUCGGAUCGUAAAGCUCUGUUGUAAGAGAAGAACGAGUGUGAGAGUGGAAAGUUCACACUGUGACGGUAUCUUACCAGAAAGGGACGGCUAACUACGUG
Molecule: ribosomal RNA, 495 nt
Filed under: uncultured bacterium
Lineage: Bacteria
Description: partial 16S ribosomal RNA
Rfam family: Bacterial small subunit ribosomal RNA
Source: RNAcentral